Molecule: ribosomal RNA, 440 nt
Filed under: uncultured bacterium
Lineage: Bacteria
Description: partial 16S ribosomal RNA
Rfam family: Bacterial small subunit ribosomal RNA
Source: RNAcentral
CCUACGGGAGGCAGCAGUAGGGAAUAUUGCUCAAUGGGGGAAACCCUGAAGCAGCAACGCCGCGUGGAGGAUGAAGGUUUUCGGAUUGUAAACUCCUUUUGUUAGAGAAGAUAAUGACGGUAUCUAACGAAUAAGCACCGGCUAACUCCGUGCCAGCAGCCGCGGUAAUACGGAGGGUGCAAGCGUUACUCGGAAUCACUGGGCGUAAAGAGCGCGUAGGCGGGAUAGCAAGUCAGAUGUGAAAUCCUAGGGCUUAACCAUAGAACUGCAUUUGAAACUGUUAUUCUAGAGUAUGCGAGAGGUAGGUGGAAUUCUUGGUGUAGGGGUAAAAUCCGUAGAGAUCAAGAGGAAUACUCAUUGCGAAGGCGACCUGCUAGAACAUAACUGACGCUGAUGCGCGAAGGCGUGGGGAGCAAACAGGAUUAGAUACCCGUGUAGUC